CCUACGGGUGGCAGCAGUGGGGAAUAUUGCACAAUGGGGGGAACCCUGAUGCAGCGACGCCGCGUGAGUGAAGAAGUAUCUCGGUACGUAAAGCUCUAUCAGCAGGGAAGAAAAUGACGGUACCUGACUAAGAAGCCCCGGCUAACUACGUGCCAGCAGCCGCGGUAAUACGUAGGGGGCAAGCGUUAUCCGGAUUUACUGGGUGUAAAGGGAGCGUAGACGGCACUGCAAGUCCGGAGUGAAAGCCCAAGGCUGAACCAUGGGACUGCUCUGGAAACUGUGGAGCUUGAGUGCGGGAGGGGCGAGCGGAACUCCUAGCGUAGGGGUGAAAUGCGUAGAGACUAGGAGGAACACCGGGGGCGAAGGCGGCCUGCUGGACCGUAACUGACGUUGAGGCUCGAAAGCGUGGGGAGCAAACAGGAUUAGAUACCCGGGUAGUC
RNAcentral lists this ribosomal RNA (440 nucleotides) under uncultured bacterium. RNAcentral describes it as "partial 16S ribosomal RNA". It matches the Rfam family "Bacterial small subunit ribosomal RNA", at positions 338 to 795 of the family's 1533-position model. The record is from RNAcentral.